GGGCUCGAAGCUCAACCUGGUCGAGCUGCGGAUUUUUAACCCGCUGGUUGUGGGUUCGAAUCCCACCGGGCCCU
RNAcentral lists this transfer RNA (74 nucleotides) under Plesiocystis pacifica. RNAcentral describes it as "tRNA-Lys". It matches the Rfam family "tRNA". Rfam says of the family: Transfer RNA (tRNA) molecules are approximately 80 nucleotides in length. Their secondary structure includes four short double-helical elements and three loops (D, anti-codon, and T loops). Further hydrogen bonds mediate the characteristic L-shaped molecular structure. tRNAs have two regions of fundamental functional importance: the anti-codon, which is responsible for specific mRNA codon recognition, and the 3' end, to which the tRNAs corresponding amino acid is attached (by aminoacyl-tRNA synthetases). tRNAs cope with the degeneracy of the genetic code in two manners: having more than one tRNA (with a specific anti-codon) for a particular amino acid; and 'wobble' base-pairing, i.e. permitting non-standard base-pairing at the 3rd anti-codon position. RNAcentral also lists the same sequence under 1 other name. Lineage: Bacteria; Pseudomonadati; Myxococcota; Nannocystales; Nannocystaceae. The record is from RNAcentral.